CGCGGCCUAUCAGCUUGUUGGUGGGGUAAUGGCCUACCAAGGCGUCGACGGGUAGCCGGCCUGAGAGGGUGUACGGCCACAUUGGGACUGAGAUACGGCCCAGACUCCUACGGGAGGCAGCAGUGGGGAAUAUUGCACAAUGGGCGAAAGCCUGAUGCAGCGACGCCGCGUGAGGGAUGAAGGCCUUCGGGUUGUAAACCUCUUUCAGUAGGGAAGAAGCGAAAGUGACGGUACCUGCAGAAGAAGCGCCGGCUAACUACGUGCCAGCAGCCGCGGUAAUACGUAGGGCGCAAGCGUUGUCCGGAAUUAUUGGGCGUAAAGAGCUCGUAGGCGGUUUGUCGCGUCUGGUGUGAAAACUCAAGGCUCAACCUUGAGCUUGCAUCGGGUACGGGCAGACUAGAGUGCGGUAGGGGUGACUGGAAUUCCUGGUGUAGCGGUGGAAUGCGCAGAUAUCAGGAGGAACACCGAUGGCGAAGGCAGGUCACUGGGCCGCAACUGACGCUGAGGAGCGAAAGCAUGGGGAGCGAACAGGAUUAGAUACCCUGGUAGUCCAUGCCGUAAACGUUGGGCACUAGGUGUGGGGCUCAUUCCACGAGUUCCGUGCCGCAGCAAACGCAUUAAGUGCCCCGCCUGGGGAGUACGG
Molecule: ribosomal RNA, 643 nt
Filed under: uncultured bacterium
Lineage: Bacteria
Description: bacterial SSU rRNA
Rfam family: Bacterial small subunit ribosomal RNA
Source: RNAcentral